Molecule: ribosomal RNA, 468 nt
Filed under: uncultured bacterium
Lineage: Bacteria
Description: partial 16S ribosomal RNA
Rfam family: Bacterial small subunit ribosomal RNA
Source: RNAcentral
GACGAACGCUGGCGGCGUGCUUAACACAUGCAAGUCGAACGGAAAGGCCCUGCUUUUGCGGGGUGCUCGAGUGGCGAACGGGUGAGUAACACGUGAGUAACCUGCCCUUGACCUUGGGAUAACUUCAGGAAACUGGGGCUAAUACCGGAUAGGAGCUCCUGCUGCAUGGUGGGGGUUGGAAAGUUUCGGCGGUUGGGGAUGGACUCGCGGCUUAUCAGCUUGUUGGUGGGGUAGUGGCUUACCAAGGCUUUGACGGGUAGCCGGCCUGGGAGGGUGACCGGCCACAUUGGGACUGAGAUACGGCCCAGACUCCUACGGGAGGCAGCAGUGGGGAAUAUUGCACAAUGGGCGGAAGCCUGAUGCAGCAACGCCGCGUGCGGGAUGACGGCCUUCGGGUUGUAAACCGCUUUCGCCUGUGACGAAGCGUGAGUGACGGUAAUGGGUAAAGAAGCACCGGCUAACUACGUG